This 1543-nucleotide long non-coding RNA is filed under the name Pogona vitticeps (central bearded dragon). Its description in RNAcentral is "lncRNA (ENSPVIG00000023582.1)". Lineage: Eukaryota; Metazoa; Chordata; Lepidosauria; Squamata; Agamidae. The record is from RNAcentral.
GCAAAAGAGGAAGAGAAAGGCUUCAUUACAAUGUAAUACACAUAGUAAGCUAUUAACAUCCAUAUGAUAUGAAUGUGCAAACCUUUUACAUCCCAUUCCUAAACACAAUGUACUUGGAUCAAUAGGAAUUACUUUGAAGUUGCAUUUUUUGAGUUGGGAUGCUAAGAUAUUUUCAUGGACAUAAUUACUAUAAGGAUUGAUUUGAUAUGGGGAAGUACUUCUUAAAAUUCACAACUUGUAUAGAUUUGCAAGUGGAACUAUAACCAUUAGAAAAGUAAUGUAAUUAAUAUAUAUCAUACAAUUAAUGUAUAUUAAUUAAUAAUGUAAUUGAUAUCUUUUUAAACUGGCAAACUUUUUUUUACAAAAUGGAAUUUUAAAUGGUAAAAAUUAAGCCAUCUUUUGAUUCAACAUGUAGGAUACUUCGUUUUAGAUGUCUUUUAAGCCUGCAGUCUCUUGUGCACUUACCUGGAAGUAGAUCUCAUGAAUAGAAUACAGUAUGUUUUUCUGUGUAGACAAACAGGAUUGCAGUUGCAGCACAAUCCUACAUGUCAACACAAAUGUUUGUCCCAUUAGAUUCAAUGGUACUUACUCACAGGUUAGAAAGGUUUCAAAUACAGUAAAUAAGUCAGAAUUGAUCUAAAAUACUGGUAUUACACUAAUAUUUCAGUGAUACAGAGCAAGUUGUGGAGAUAAGCAAGGCCAGAAAGGGAUGGUGAGAAACAAAACCCUUCACUUGGUACAGUGUUUACCUCAACUUUUACGUCAUUAAAAUGAAGUACUGUACCUAGAAAAGAAGUUUUUUGUUCCCACAGCCUCUCAAGAUUGAAGAACUGUUUUUCACAGAUAAAGGCCAUCCAAAUUGCAAUAUUCCUGUAUGCUUCUAGGCAUAUACAUAAAAAUUAUCCUCAGUCUCCUCACCACCAAUACUUAAAAUAUUAUUUGUAGGAAAAUAGGGUGAAUAUAGGAAUGCCAUUUUUCUAGGAAGACAUUUGCUAAAAGCUGAAAGAUGAGGAAGCAAGUCACGCACUGACCUGCUUUUCUUGCCUCCCCACAUCAGUUAGUAAGAAGAAAAGCAGAAACAAAGAAUUCCAACCCAUUUGCUUCGAAGGCUUGGUUUUUAUGGAAAGGGGGAUGGAGGAGUUCAUGAAAUGCUGAGUAGGAAGUGCAAUGACUCAUCAUAAUCGCAGUAUUUCCCUGGGACAAUUAGCAUCCACUACUCAUCCUCCAUCUUGAAGGUGGGAGGCCUUAUGAGGACUUUUAAUUCUGCCAUUUCACUUCGUGGGACAGGAACCCUCCUCCCCUAACACCCCUCUUUCAACUUCCCCCAACAUUGUACUGUUUUAAUCUCCCUGCCUGUACUUUUAGAAACCGUCCUUCUUUUUCAACCACAUUACCCCGUUGGGGUCAUUGCUGUUGUUGUUGUUCAUAAUCUUGAUUUAUGGCAAGCAUUAGUUGUGUUCUAUAAAUGCAAUUAAUUAUUGCUGUCAGAAAUUAUCAUUAAUAAUCACCUUUAAUAACGUGUAGACAGUCGACCAGUUCUGUA